Molecule: ribosomal RNA, 460 nt
Filed under: uncultured bacterium
Lineage: Bacteria
Description: partial 16S ribosomal RNA
Rfam family: Bacterial small subunit ribosomal RNA
Source: RNAcentral
CCUACGGGGUGCAGCAGUGAGGAAUGUUGGUCAAUGGACGAGAGUCUGAACCAGCCAAGUAGCGUGAAGGAUGACUGCCCUAUGGGUUGUAAACUUCUUUUAUAUGGGAAUAAAACGUUCCACGUGUGGGAUUUUGUAUGUACCAUAUGAAUAAGGAUCGGCUAACUCCGUGCCAGCAGCCGCGGUAAUACGGAGGAUCCGAGCGUUAUCCGGAUUUAUUGGGUUUAAAGGGAGCGUAGGUGGAUUGUUAAGUCAGUUGUGAAAGUUUGCGGCUCAACCGUAAAAUUGCAGUUGAAACUGGCAGUCUUGAGUACAGUAGAGGUGGGCGGAAUUCGUGGUGUAGCGGUGAAAUGCUUAGAUAUCACGAAGAACUCCGAUUGCGAAGGCAGUUCACUGGACUGCAACUGACACUGAGGCUCGAAAGUGUGGGUAUCAAACAGGAUUAGAUACCCUUGUAGUC